AAGAGCCUCAGCUAAAAAAUCAACUAGCUCCCCUAAGACUUUAUCAAGGAUGGAAUGAUAUAGGAAUAAAAUAUAAUUAAGGUGUGAAACUAGUGCUCUCUUAUGCUAGCAACAUUAGAUACGAUGCCCUCAAAUAGUCUCCUACUCAUUUCUCCCCAAAUCAUCCAAAAUUUCGCAUGGGGAGUAAGGGCUAAAAGCUUCUUCUCAACCAAAUUAAAC
This 219-nucleotide long non-coding RNA is filed under the name Carica papaya (papaya). RNAcentral describes it as "long non-coding RNA (CPAP_LNC001067)". The record is from RNAcentral. Lineage: Eukaryota; Viridiplantae; Streptophyta; Magnoliopsida; Brassicales; Caricaceae.